This 427-nucleotide ribosomal RNA is filed under the name uncultured Lysobacteraceae bacterium. Its description in RNAcentral is "bacterial SSU rRNA". It matches the Rfam family "Bacterial small subunit ribosomal RNA", at positions 355 to 774 of the family's 1533-position model. The record is from RNAcentral. Lineage: Bacteria; Pseudomonadati; Pseudomonadota; Gammaproteobacteria; Lysobacterales; Lysobacteraceae.
UGGGGAAUAUUGGACAAUGGGGGCAACCCUGAUCCAGCAAUGCCGCGUGUGUGAAGAAGGCCUUCGGGUUGUAAAGCACUUUUGUCCGGAACGAAACGUGCGGGGCGAAUAGCCUCGUAAACUGACGGUACCGGAAGAAUCAGCACCGGCUAACUUCGUGCCAGCAGCCGCGGUAAUACGAAGGGUGCAAGCGUUACUCGGAAUUACUGGGCGUAAAGGGUGCGUAGGUGGUUUGUUAAGUCUGCCGUGAAAUCCCCGGGCUCAACCUGGGAAUGGCGGUGGAUACUGGCAAGCUGGAGUGCGGUAGAGGGUAGUGGAAUUCCCGGUGUAGCAGUGAAAUGCGUAGAGAUCGGGAGGAACACCAGUGGCGAAGGCGGCUACCUGGACCAGCACUGACACUGAGGCACGAAAGCGUGGGGAGCAAACA